ACGGGGGAUGCAAGCGUUAUCCGGAUUUAUUGGGUUUAAAGGGUGCGUAGGCGGUUUGAUAAGUCAGCUGUGAAAUCUUUCAGCUUAACUGAAAGGGUGCAGUUGAUACUGUCAAGCUUGAGUAUGGUUGCUGUGGAUGGAAUGUGUGGUGUAGAGGUGAAAUGCGUAGAUAUCACACAGAAUAUCGAUUGCGAAGGCAGCUCACAAAGCCAUUAUUGACGCUGAUGCACGAAAGUGUGGGGAUCAAACAG
Molecule: ribosomal RNA, 251 nt
Filed under: uncultured prokaryote
Description: partial 16S rRNA
Rfam family: Bacterial small subunit ribosomal RNA
Source: RNAcentral